Molecule: transfer RNA, 73 nt
Organism: Culex pipiens (northern house mosquito)
Lineage: Eukaryota; Metazoa; Arthropoda; Insecta; Diptera; Culicidae
Rfam family: tRNA
About the family: Transfer RNA (tRNA) molecules are approximately 80 nucleotides in length.
Source: Rfam
GCAGGCGUGGCCGAAUGGUUACGCUGUUCGCUUUGAAUGCGGAUGAUCAUGGGUUCGAUUCCCAUCUGCUCCA